UGAGCAAUCUGCCCUUCACAUCGGAAUAACCAUUGGAAACGAUGGCUAAUACCGAAUAUGACUUCGGAUCGCAUGAUCUGAAGUGGAAAGCUCGGCGGUGAAGGAUGAGCUCGCGGCCUAUCAGCUUGUUGGUGAGGUAAUAGCUCACCAAGGCGAUGACGGGUAGCCGGCCUGAGAGGGUGACCGGCCACACUGGGACUGAGACACGGCAGA
This 213-nucleotide ribosomal RNA is filed under the name uncultured bacterium. RNAcentral describes it as "partial 16S ribosomal RNA". It matches the Rfam family "Bacterial small subunit ribosomal RNA", at positions 118 to 335 of the family's 1533-position model. The record is from RNAcentral.